AGAACGAACGCUGGCGGCAGGCUUAACACAUGCAAGUCGAACGGUUGUAGCAAUACAGCAGUGGCGCACGGGUGAGUAACGCGUGGGAACAUACCUUAGAGUUCGGAAUAACAGCGGGAAACUGCUGCUAAUACCGGAUAUUCUCCUCGGAGGAAAGAUUUAUCGCUCUAAGAUUGGCCCGCGUCAGAUUAGCUAGUUGGUGAGGUAAUGGCUCACCAAGGCUCCGAUCUGUAGCUGGUCUGAGAGGACGACCAGCCACACUGGAACUGAGACACGGUCCAGACUCCUACGGGAGGCAGCAGUGGGGAAUAUUGGACAAUGGGCGAAAGCCUGAUCCAGCCAUGCCGCGUGAAUGAUGAAGGCCUUAGGGUUGUAAAGUUCUUUUGCCUAGGGAAGAUAAUGACGGUACCUGGAGAAUAAGCACCGGCUAACUCGUGCCAGCAGCCGC
RNAcentral lists this ribosomal RNA (448 nucleotides) under uncultured bacterium. RNAcentral describes it as "SSU rRNA". It matches the Rfam family "Bacterial small subunit ribosomal RNA", at positions 26 to 518 of the family's 1533-position model. The record is from RNAcentral.